GACCCGCUCUCGGCCAGGAACGCUCCUACCGAUUACAGGGUCUGGGCCCUGGCGGUACAGAGCGCUCCCAGGGGUUGGGGGGUUGAGGAUCGGCGAGGGGCGCAGCUGUGGAGACGACCGGGCUCCCGAGGGGCGGGCCCUCGAGACAAUGAUCCUCUGCAUGGGUCACUGACCCUCGCCCUGGUGACCCCUUAUGGUAGUAGCCAAGAGGUCUGCACGAUGCCACUUCCAUUGGGCUGCAUUUCCGCAGAGUAUCAGCUGCUGGAGUCCUAAUGUAGAACUUGAGGUUUCCUACUGGGAAAGGAAAGAAAGUUUUUGUAACUGAUUUUCAGGAAAGAAGCUCCCAUAAUAGAACAAGGGUCUGUGUGCCGUCCUCACCAAUGUCACAUGGCCUUGGCACCCAGCAAGUUUAGCGUUGAAGCAAAACACCUAAGAUGACACAAAGGAGUGGCAGUGGGAGCCGCCGUCACGACGCUCUGCCACUUGCAGUUUCAGAAGUUUAAAAAUAAAAUUGUAGAAGUAAAAGGAAACGUGGUCUACAAUGGAGUCCGGCGGCCAGCAGGGGGAGCUCUCGGCCCUGCCACUCCGGGUCAAUUGCAGAUCCAACGAGAAGGGACGCACCUUGCAGGUGGAUUCCACUGUAGCUACUACUUUACAGACCCCCAGGAGGAAGGAAGGUUUCCUCCUCCCCCAGCAACAGUCCAGCCAAUGAGAGACUGUCAUAGUCCAGCCAAUGAGAGACUAUGGAUCAGCCAAUGAAAGGCUCCUACAGUUCCAGCUCUCAAUUUCCUCCAAUGGACUUUCUGUUGACAACAGCCCUCCUGUCUUCUAUAAAAGAGCCUCCUGGGGACCCCCCCCCCCGCCCACCCCGGGUGGCUCAGUCGGUUCAGUGUCCCACUUUGGCUCAGGUCAUGAUCUCGAGGUAUGUGGAUUCAAGCACCACAUCCGAGUCUGUGCUGACAACUGAGCCUGGUGCCUGCUUCUGAUUCUCUCUCUCUGCCCUCCCACUCUCACACUUUCUCC
Long non-coding RNA from Suricata suricatta (meerkat), 1023 nucleotides. RefSeq lists it as uncharacterized. The transcript is spliced from 3 exons. The record is from RefSeq and is a predicted model, not a curated record. NCBI's taxonomy places the organism in Eukaryota, Metazoa, Chordata, Mammalia, Carnivora, Herpestidae.